GAGUUUGAUCCUGGCUCAGGAUGAACGCUGGCGGCGUGCCUAAUACAUGCAAGUCGAGCGAACAGAUAAGGAGCUUGCUCCUUUGACGUUAGCGGCGGACGGGUGAGUAACACGUGGGUAGCCUACCUAUAAGACUGGAAUAACUCCGGGAAACCGGGGCUAAUGCCGGAUAACAUUUAGAACCGCAUGGUUCUAAAGUAAAAGAUGGUUUUGCUAUCACUUAUAGAUGGACCCGCGCCGUAUUAGCUAGUUGGUAAGGUAACGGCUUACCAAGGCAACGAUACGUAGCCGACCUGAGAGGGUGAUCGGCCACACUGGAACUGAGACACGGUCCAGACUCCUACGGGAGGCAGCAGUAGGGAAUCUUCCGCAAUGGGCGAAAGCCUGACGGAGCAACGCCGCGUGAGUGAUGAAGGUCUUCGGAUCGUAAAACUCUGUUAUUAGGGAAGAACAAAUGUGUAAGUAACUGUGCACGUCUUGACGGUACCUAAUCA
RNAcentral lists this ribosomal RNA (494 nucleotides) under uncultured bacterium. Its description in RNAcentral is "bacterial SSU rRNA". It matches the Rfam family "Bacterial small subunit ribosomal RNA", at positions 9 to 485 of the family's 1533-position model. The record is from RNAcentral.